RNAcentral lists this long non-coding RNA (6552 nucleotides) under Marmota monax (woodchuck). The stretch from base 2366 to 2423 matches the Rfam family "tRNA", at positions 8 to 63 of the family's 71-position model. The record is from RNAcentral. Lineage: Eukaryota; Metazoa; Chordata; Mammalia; Rodentia; Sciuridae.
GAGGCUGUGACAUUGGGUCUUCCAGGAGGCAGAAUUCCUGAGACCUCUGUGCCUCAGCUCCUUCCCAUGUGGAGGAGGAUUGUGCUGAGCAGCCCUGGUGGGCACUUGUGAUCACCUGGGGCUGGAUCUCAGCAGAGACAGCUCAGCCUCCAUCCCUAGGAAGUGGGCCCAGUGUCCAGCUGUGAGGGACUGCACAGGGCCAUCUGCCUUCACCUGGACAUCCAGAUGGGUGCUGCACUGGCUCUGGAAAUGGACCCAGCUCAGAAGAGGAACUGACUCGUUCACAGGGCCAAGAACCUCAAAUUACGCAGGUGGGAAUCUGCGUUCUCCAUUCCUCAGCUCCACUUUCUUCCCAGCUGGCUUCAUUCUGGGCCAGACACUGUCCACGUGGAGUCCAAGCUGGUUCCUGACAGCUCAACCCAUGCUCCUCAAAGAAAACUCAGGACCUGUUACUAAAAGAGGGAAGGACACUGGACAGGCAGAACAAAGUGGUUGGCACCUGGCGCCUCCCUUAACCUGCAAGUCUGAAUCCCGUGUGUCCCGUGUGGACUGGCCAACAUGCAGUGUGUGCUGCUCAGCAGCUGGGCCAGCCUCCGUCUCCACCGCCAGGGCAGAGUGUGGGUGGGUGGGUGGCUUCACUGAGGGCAUAGGAAUGUCAGAAUGCAGGUGCUAGCAGAGAAACAAAGGUUCUGUGAAUGUCAUCCCGAUGAGAUGUGGCUGGACCUGCCUGGGGUGCCCCGGGAAUCCCUGGCCCCAGGUUCAGCAGUGGGUCUUCCACUGCGAGAGGCAGGUUGGAGNCACAUACUGCAUGCUCACACAAGGGCACAGAGACACACGCCCUCACACACACAAUGCGCAUGCAGGACUAUGUUCCCAGACCCUUCCCCCUGCCUGUGUUGCUCAGGGCCACUGGGUACCCCUCAGCUCUUCCACCCCAGUGUAACUCUAUGGGCUCCGCAGCCCUGAGCAAAGGGGCUCUGUCUCCACCAUUCCUUCAUUACAGGAAGGGUGUGCAAGAGCAGGUGUGGCAGGCCUACACUGUUUGUUCCAGGAAGGGGACAGCCUCUGUUCCUCCCUGGGCCAGGAAGGAAAGACCAACUGCACUUGAGCUGGGAGUUAUCACGGACCAGCCCCUGGGCCACAUCUUGUGGGAGGCUGAAGGAUAAUGACCAGUGCUCCUGCACAGGGAGCUGUGUGGGCACCAGGCCUGACUGGGAGGAGCAGGGGGGGAAAGAGAGGAGGGUGGCCGAUGAGAGGGCAGGAUCUGUGGGAGGGCGGGGCCUGUGGGAGGGUCGGACCUAUGAGAGGGCAGGAUCUGUAGAAGGGCGUUGCCUAUAAGAAGGAAGGAGGGGCCUUGGGAGGGCGGGGCCUAUGAGAGGGCAGGAUCUAUAGAAGGGCGUUGCCUAUAAGAAGGAAGGAGGGGCCUUGGGAGGGCGGGGCCUAUGAGAAGGAAGGAGGGGCCUUGGGAGGGCGGGGCCUCCUUGAGGUGAGGAGCCUUCCUGGGGUGAGCAGGGAGUAUUGUCCUCUGCCCUCUAGAGUCAGCUUGAUUGACUGUGGUUGGCACACGACACACAGGCUGGGCUGGAAGACCCCAGGAUGACUGGCUGAGCAGGGAAGUGAAGGACAUUCAUUCUCUGACCUCAGCUGAACAUCUCUCUGAGUCAUACUGCCCAGGGCUGGGGGUGUGGGGACAGGUCAGACUGGAACCUGCUGCCUUCAUUCCUUCGUAGGUCAUUGGUUGAUUCACCCCGUGUGAGCCUGGCUCUAAGUUCCCAUCCUCAGAGCACCCAGGGAGGUGGGACCUGCUGUUUGCCCACUUUACAGAGGGCGACUGAGGCAGUGGUCACAUACAAGGACACCCCACUAGGGAUAGGUGGAGGUUGCAACCCACCCAGCUGUGGGAGGCUGAGCUCAUCUCAGAAGCCCCGGCGCUGCACUUACUGAGCAUCUGGUCAGCACCAGGGUCUAGGGGUGAACAGGUCAGAGAAUGUGCUGAGGAUGAUUUAAUUAAAAAAAUCUUCAAAAACAAAAUGCAGAUCAGGAAUAGCACCACAAAACAAAUGCAUGGCUUAGUCAGGGGCUCCGAGGGGAACAGCCUCACAGCUGCCAGGGGCGUCACUGGGAACUGUGCUUGGUCCUGAGUGCUGCGUGGGCCCCUUCCCCCAGGGCCCGUCCUGCCCUGCACAGGUACUUCUGCCUUGCAUUUCUUCCCUGAGCACUUCGGUUUAGCUUUCCCUCUUUUCAAAACUAUGUCUUUUUUUUUUUUGGUUGUUUAAAACAUUACAUAGCUCUUGACAUAUCAUAUUUCAUACAUUUGAUUCAAGUGGGUUAUGAACUCCCAUUUUUACCCCAUAUACAGAUUGCAUAGCUCAGUUGGUAGAGUGCUUGCCUUUCAUGCACAAGGCCUUGGGUUCAAAUCCCAGCACCACAAAAAAAAAAAAAAGAUGCCCUUAAAACUAUAUCUAAGAAGAAGAAGAUCUCAAGUGUCUUUCACACUUCAGCCCCCCCCCCCCCCCACCUGCCUUCUUUCCUGACGGCAUCUCUGUUGAAGGAUCUGUCAUUCACCUGCAGCCUGGUAGUGCAGCUCAGGGAGUGCCUGGUGUUCCUCUGAGAUUCCUCUGAGACCCCUCCAGCUGGGCUUCAUCUGCAGAAGCACAGGGUCCUGCUGUGCCCUUCUCCUGGAGGCACAGGUCGGCUCUGCAUGCACCCCUGACACUCCAGGCCCGAAGCCACUAGUUCACUGAAAUGGAGGUAGUCUAAGUCUGCAGGUGCUCUUCACUUAUUAGCUGGAUCAGCUUCAUGAAAACAGCUGGGACUUUGUCCCCUGCAUACAAGCAGGGGGAAGCUCGGCUGCUCCCCCUUGGGGCCCCUCCUCAGGGAAGUGGACUCCUUUUACAGUUUGUUUCAGUCACUGUGGACUCAGGCUCUUUUUCAGCUGGGCCUGGGGAGGGUAUUGAAGAGAAGAGAGAGUGGGCUCCUGCUGUGGGGAGGAAGGGACCUCCUCCAAGCUGAAGGGGACGCUCAGGAGAGGGGAGGGUGCCCGGAAGAGGCUGGGAGGGGCCAGAAGGAGGCUCGCCUCUGAGGGGCCCAACGGAGGCGUCAACGGCCAGGAGGCCUCCGGAGUGGAAGUGUCCACGCGGUGAGCCCGGGGUCCAGAAGCUGCAGGGCUCCAGGGGCCCUCUGCUGAACUCAAGGGGUUGCCUUAGCGUGCUAGGACCGUGGGCCCACACGUGGCACGGGGCGGGGUCUGAGGCCGGUCAAGGAGCCGCCCUGUAAGCGUGGUGGUGGCAGAGUCCAUGAGAAGCAAGCUGACCCGAGGGACGACACGCAGAGCCCUUGGUCAGCACGGCGGCGUCCGCAUGGAGGGUCUGAUUCAGGAGUUAUGCUGUUGGAAAAGGCUUCAAAGAAGCAAGCAGCUUUCUGGAGCCUUAGAAUUCUCUUCUUUGUGAAGUGGAAUAAAAAAAAAUAAAAGUAAAAUUAAAAAAAGGCUUGUUUUGUGGAAGGUGGUGAUGCCAGCCACAGGGAGGAGCAGAACUUUGUAGAAAACCGAACGAAGGCGUCUACCGUGCUUAUGUUUGGAACCAGGUCAGUUAAUAGAGUGACUGCUUUCAGAUGAAAAGGAAGCGACCAUCAGGAAUUGGCUUGAAUAUGUGAUGGUCCCAAGCAGGCACUGACGUCACCAUAUUUGGAGGCCCCUCGUCCCACCUCAUCAUAGUGUCUCAUUGAGUUGCCUCCUGGUCAUUUUUUUUUUAAAUUCAGAGCCAAUUUUGUGGUAUGGUUUGCAUGCAUAAAAUGCACUGAUUUUAAGUGUGCAUUUACUGAGCUUCGACAAAGGUCCAUGCACAUGUAACAGCCCAGCAACCUAUAUAAGCAGCGCUCCACCAGCUCAAGCCCGCCCCUCGCGCACCUUCACUGUCUGCCCACCUGGCUUCCACACCACUGACCUGCUUUCCCUGCAGCAGAGCCGCCUUGACCAGGGUUGUCAGCAGAGCCCUGCAGCACGAGGCUGUGACAUUGGGUCUUCCAGGAGGCAGAAUUCCUGAGACCUCUGUGCCUCAGCUCCUUCCCAUGUGGAGGAGGAUUGUGCUGAGCAGCCCUGGUGGGCACUUGUGAUCACCUGGGGCUGGAUCUCAGCAGAGACAGCUCAGCCUCCAUCCCUAGGAAGUGGGCCCAGUGUCCAGCUGUGAGGGACUGCACAGGGCCAUCUGCCUUCACCUGGACAUCCAGAUGGGUGCUGCACUGGCUCUGGAAAUGGACCCAGCUCAGAAGAGGAACUGACUCGUUCACAGGGCCAAGAACCUCAAAUUACACAGGUGGGAAUCUGCGUUCUCCAUUCCUCAGCUCCACUUUCUUCCCAGCUGGCUUCAUUCUGGGCCAGACACUGUCCACGUGGAGUCCAAGCUGGUUCCUGACAGCUCAACCCAUGCUCCUCAAAGAAAACUCAGGACCCGUUACUGAAAGAGGGAAGGACACUGGACAGGCAGAACAAAGUGGUUGGCACCUGGCGUCUCCCUUAACCUGCAAGUCUGAAUCCCGUGUGUCCCGUGUGGACUGGCCAACAUGCAGUGUGUGCCGCUCAGCAGCUGGGCCAGCCUCCGUCUCCACCGCCAGGGCAGAGUGUGGGUGGGUGGGUGGCUUCACUGAGGGCACAGGAAUGUCAGAAUGCAGGUGCUAGCAGAGAAACAAAGGUUCUGUGAAUGUCAUCCCGAUGAGAUGUGGCUGGACCUGCCUGGGGUGCCCCGGGAAUCCCUGGCCCCAGGUUCAGCAGUGGGUCUUCCACUGCGAGAGGCAGGUUGGAGCCAAAAGUUCUAGUGGCAAGCUCAGUGCCAGAUCCCGUGGACUGUGGGUCUCUGAAACGCACUUGAGUGCCCUCAGGCUCCCUGGGAACAGAAAGCAGCCGGAGGGAGGCCACGGGCCCACUGUGCACGGUGCACGUCACCAGGCGGGGGCCGUGGAGAGAAAGCCUGAGCCCCGGGAGACAGGGCGCAGGGGUGAGGUCUCUUCUGGUCUCCGGGAGGCGAGUGUCUGACCACAUGGGGCUUUCCAACAAGGGUGGGCAGCAGUGUGGGGCGGCCUGCAGGCCUCCCGGGCUCAGUGGGUGAAGUCAAAGCCGUGAUGAGCUCACCAGGAAACCGGAUGUGGGAUGCUUGCUCCAAUUCAAAAUCCACUUCAAAAUCCAAGUGAAAAGCGGAGCGGCAGGAGUGAGUUCGAGAAAAUCCUGCCUCACUGCAAAGCACAGGGUGCCUCCCGUCCAUGCAGAACCGCUGGACAUUCCUCCUGGCCCGGGAGAGGGUCCUGGGGGUGGGGCGGGAAGGCCGAAGGCUGUGUGGAACUCUCUGGAUGAAGACGUGGGAUUCUUUUAGCUCCAACCGUGGACACUGUGACUGAUGAAGUCCUUUGCAUCUUCUCAGUGAGUCGCUGCAGAGUGCUCUGCUGAGCAGCAUGUGAUCUGCUGACCCUUCGUUUGCUAAGGGCCCUGUUGAGCAUAAAAAUAUCCCAUCGAUAGCCAAAUGUGCCUUCAGAACUGGCCGGUGGCAACUUCCGAGGGUUGCUGUGGUGUCCAUCCUGCUGCUGGUUCUGGAGCUGCCCUGGGCAGCUCUGGGGGCUACCAGACUAGGGCACCGGCACCCCAUCAGUGCCUGCCCAGCCCCUCUCCAGGGGCCAUAGGUUGAGUGGAUCCCGAGGAUGGCCGGCAGCAGGGCAGGGCGGGCAGUGGCCAGGCUGGUGCCUCCUGUGAAGAAGGAGUUCCCAGGGCACCAGGUUUUACCACAGGACAUGCACAUGUGGGCCUGGGUCCCUGUGCAGGAGGCUGUGGCCCCGGGCUGCCCUUGGUGUCACUCAGGAAUAGAUGGCCCCACCUGUGGCAGCUGCCCAGGGACCCAGUGCCCACCCUCCCCCAUGUGCAGUGGGCUAUCACACACUUGAGCACACACUCACUCACCCUCACACCCACAGUUCGCACACACCAGACCCCAAUCAGAUGGACCCACAGCUCUGCCAGCUGACCUGUGGUGCCCUCCAGGACAGCAAGGCUCCUGUGACUUGGGACAGACAGUGUGGCGAUAGCAGCAAAACCACAGCCCGGGAACCGUCUUAGUUCCUGGAACCAAGACAGGGAAAUGGCCCCAAGAACAUGUUUCUUGUGCUCUCAUUUGUCACCUGAGGCUGUGGCCUGGCCAACCAGAGCGUCCCUGUGAAUCGGCCAGAUCCAGCCUGAGAGCCAGGUGAGCUCCUGCGGGGGAGGGGCUGUGGCCCCCACCCUAUCCGCUCCAUUAGCUGUGGGGAAGAGCCCCGUCCAGCAGCCCCAGCCGUGCCCUGGGGGAGGAGUGGGGGGCAGCCAGGGCAGCAGGUGGGGCUGCUCAGCCUCACCGUCCAGCACCCUUAGCCGCCCUCUGUGCAGGUCGCUGGAGCCAGAUUCUCCCCAGUGCUUCAGCCACCCCCCAGUGGGGUCCUGGCCUCCUGCUCUUCUCAGUAAGGGUCCACCAAUGACCCUGAGCCUUUCACAUAAUAGAACCAGCAGCUUCAGCUGUCCAUCAGCUGGAUGGAAAGUCC